RNAcentral lists this unclassified non-coding RNA (210 nucleotides) under uncultured Russula. RNAcentral describes it as "sequence contains ITS1". The record is from RNAcentral. Lineage: Eukaryota; Fungi; Basidiomycota; Agaricomycetes; Russulales; Russulaceae.
UCGUACUACAGAGGCACGAGGGCUGUCGCUGACCUUUUUCAAAGGUCGUGCACGCCCGAGCGCUCUCGCCUACAAUCCACCUCACCACUUGUGCAUCACCGCGCGGGGCCUCCCUCUUGGCUCGCUUCGAGAGAGGCUCGCGUUCUUCACAUCACACACACACCUUUUUAGUUUUGAAUGUCAUUCAUUUGCGAUAACACGCAAUCAAUA